Molecule: transfer RNA, 67 nt
Filed under: Liposcelis sculptilimacula
Lineage: Eukaryota; Metazoa; Arthropoda; Insecta; Psocodea; Liposcelididae
Description: tRNA-Leu
Source: RNAcentral
AUUCUGAUAGCGUUAAACUAAGCACUAAAUUUAGAAUUUAGAGAUACUAUACAAAAGGUUCAGGAGG